Molecule: transfer RNA, 76 nt
Filed under: Xenorhabdus stockiae
Lineage: Bacteria; Pseudomonadati; Pseudomonadota; Gammaproteobacteria; Enterobacterales; Morganellaceae
Description: tRNA-Lys
Rfam family: tRNA
About the family: Transfer RNA (tRNA) molecules are approximately 80 nucleotides in length.
Source: RNAcentral
GGGUCGUUAGCUCAGUCGGUAGAGCACUUGACUUUUAAUCAAUUGGUCGCAGGUUCGAAUCCUGCACGACCCACCA